CUGGGGCCUCGGCCUUGGAUUGUAGCCUCUAGACAUAGUGCCAACGGAGGCGCAGGUGCAAGCCUCUUGGAAAAGAGCAUCAAUGUGGGUGAGAAUCCUGUGUUUCACUUGCAGUCCACCGUGCACGGCACAUGUUCUCAGAGUCGCGUUCCUCGGAAUUGGAGCGUAAAGUGGGUGGUAAAUUUCAUCUAAAGCUAAAUAUAGGCUUGAGACCGAUAGCAAACAAGUACCAUGAGGGAAAGAUGAAAAGGACUUUGAAAAGAGAGUUAAAAGUGCUUGAAAUCGCUGAAAGGGAAGCGAAUGGAACCAGUCUUCUGGCUGAGAUUGUUGCGUGCUACUGUGAUGCCUGGCUGCUUCAACGCAAGUGUUGCAGUUAGAGUUGAUCAGCUGUGCGUGAUGUUUCUCAGCUUGUUAGUCAACCUUUGUUCGUGCUUGGGGAUAACUGCAGGUACCAUGCUCUUCCCUGCGGGGUUGAUCUCGUGCUUGUUAGGACUCAGGUGUGUACACUUGGUGACAAAAUGGUUCUCUUCGACCCGUCUUGAAACACGGACCAAGGAGUCUAGCACAUGUGCAAGUUCACAGGUGGCAAGCCUGCUUGCGCAAUGAAGGUGACUGCUGGGAAUAUUUGCACCAGCAACCGACCAAUCAAUUGAGAGAAGUUUGAGUAUGAGCAUAUGUGUU
This 681-nucleotide ribosomal RNA is filed under the name Pelagodinium bei. RNAcentral describes it as "eukaryotic LSU rRNA". It matches the Rfam family "Eukaryotic large subunit ribosomal RNA", at positions 121 to 810 of the family's 3401-position model. Lineage: Eukaryota; Dinophyceae; Suessiales; Suessiaceae. The record is from RNAcentral.